This 253-nucleotide ribosomal RNA is filed under the name uncultured bacterium. RNAcentral's name for it is "partial 16S ribosomal RNA". It matches the Rfam family "Bacterial small subunit ribosomal RNA", at positions 524 to 776 of the family's 1533-position model. The record is from RNAcentral.
UACAGAGGGUGCGAGCGUUAAUCGGAAUUACUGGGCGUAAAGCGUGCGUAGACGGUUAUUUAAGUCGGGUGUGAAAGCCCCGGGCUCAACCUGGGAAUUGCAUUCGAGACUGAAUAGCUAGGGUACGGUAGAGGGAAGCGGAAUUUCCGGUGUAGCGGUGAAAUGCGUAGAUAUCGGAAGGAACAUCAAUGGCGAAAGCGGCUUCCUGGACCAGUACCGACGUUCAGGCACGAAAGCGUGGGGAGCAAACAGG